UGCGAACGCUCUCGGUAUACGAUCUAUACCGUGCCAGACUUGCGUCGGGAGAUUGAUUCUUUGACGAUGGAGCUAGCGAGCGAGGCUUUCACGGCAAUAAGAACACCGCCGCCAGAGGAUUUAUCGGCAUUGGACAAUGUACGAUCGCAACGAAAACAUAAAUAUCAUAGUCAUGUUCGAGGGACGACAAGAACACUGACUGCAAUCGAUUAGCACCGCGGAUGCUGUUCAUGUUUUGGAAAAGAAACGGACGUAGAGGAGGUGGGAGAAUUUGAGAACGUUGGCGGAGAAACGAUGACGGGUGCGUGCAAAUUGAGACUAGGGCUCGAAACGAAAGACCUCAGGGCGUGUGGAACGAGCAAAUUCGAACUCUCGGAAAUAU
Armigeres subalbatus is the source of this 382-nucleotide long non-coding RNA. RefSeq lists it as uncharacterized. The transcript has 4 exons. NCBI's taxonomy places the organism in Eukaryota, Metazoa, Arthropoda, Insecta, Diptera, Culicidae. The record is from RefSeq and is a predicted model, not a curated record.